UGCUUGCUUUGGCAGCACAUUACUAAAACUGGAACAAUUCAGAGAAGAUUAGCAUGGCCCCCGCACAAGGAUGACACGCAAAUUCUCAAAUUCGUGAAGUGUUC
This is a small nuclear RNA of Leptonychotes weddellii (Weddell seal), 104 nucleotides long. Lineage: Eukaryota; Metazoa; Chordata; Mammalia; Carnivora; Phocidae. The record is from RefSeq and is a predicted model, not a curated record.